UACAGAGGUCUCAAGCGUUGUUCGGAUUCAUUGGGCGUAAAGGGUGUGUAGGUGGCGCCGUAAGUCGGAUGUGAAAUUUCGGAGCUUAACUCCGAAACUGCAUUCGAUACUGCGGUGCUUGAGGACUGGAGAGGAGACUGGAAUUCAUGGUGUAGCAGUGAAAUGCGUAGAGAUCAUGAGGAAGACCAGUGGCGAAGGCGGGUCUCUGGACAGUUCCUGACACUGAGACACGAAGGCCAGGGGAGCAAACGGG
RNAcentral lists this ribosomal RNA (253 nucleotides) under uncultured bacterium. Its description in RNAcentral is "partial 16S ribosomal RNA". It matches the Rfam family "Bacterial small subunit ribosomal RNA", at positions 524 to 776 of the family's 1533-position model. The record is from RNAcentral.